This 209-nucleotide unclassified non-coding RNA is filed under the name uncultured Glomeraceae. Its description in RNAcentral is "partial internal transcribed spacer 2". The record is from RNAcentral. Lineage: Eukaryota; Fungi; Glomeromycota; Glomeromycetes; Glomerales; Glomeraceae.
GUUAAUAAAAAUCGGUGCGUCGCAAUUUUUUUGUGAUGUUUCCGGAGUUUGAGUUAUCUUAAACUCUUCUGGGUUUUUAAGAGGCUUAAAAUUGACCUUUUUUGUGCAUUUUAGACGUACAUAAAUUUUUUUUUAUUCGUCUAUCUUAAUGCCAAAAUCUAUUAGAUGCGACCAUAUCAUGUUGGUUUCGUGUCUAUAAAUUUUUCAUG